GACGAACGCUGGCGGCGUGCUUAACACAUGCAAGUCGAACGGAAAGGCCCUGCUUUUGUGGGGUGCUCGAGUGGCGAACGGGUGAGUAACACGUGAGUAACCUGCCCUUGACUUUGGGAUAACUUCAGGAAACUGGGGCUAAUACCGGAUAGGAGCUCCUGCUGCAUGGUGGGGGUUGGAAAGUUUCGGCGGUGGUGGAUGGACUCGCGGCUUAUCAGCUUGUUGGUGGGGUAGUGGCUUACCAAGGCUUUGACGGGUAGCCGGCCUGAGAGGGUGACCGGCCACAUUGGGACUGAGAUGCGGCCCAGACUACUCCGGGAGGCAGCAGUGGGGAAUAUUGCACAAUGGGCGGAAGCCUGAUGCAGCAACGCCGCGUGCGGGAUGACGGCCUUCGGGUUGUAAACCGCUUUCGCCUGUGACGAAGCGUGAGUGACGGUAAUGGGUAAAGAAGCACCGGCUAACUCCGUG
Molecule: ribosomal RNA, 468 nt
Filed under: uncultured bacterium
Lineage: Bacteria
Description: partial 16S ribosomal RNA
Rfam family: Bacterial small subunit ribosomal RNA
Source: RNAcentral